UGGGGAAUUUUGGACAAUGGGCGAAAGCCUGAUCCAGCAAUGCCGCGUGUGUGAAGAAGGCCUUCGGGUUGUAAAGCACUUUUGUCCGGAAAGAAAUCCUUGGCUCUAAUACAGUCGGGGGAUGACGGUACCGGAAGAAUAAGCACCGGCUAACUACGUGCCAGCAGCCGCGGUAAUACGUAGGGUGCAAGCGUUAAUCGGAAUUACUGGGCGUAAAGCGUGCGCAGGCGGUUUGCUAAGACCGAUGUGAAAUCCCCGGGCUCAACCUGGGAACUGCAUUGGUGACUGGCAGGCUAGAGUAUGGCAGAGGGGGGUAGAAUUCCACGUGUAGCAGUGAAAUGCGUAGAGAUGUGGAGGAAUACCGAUGGCGAAGGCAGCCCCCUGGGCCAAUACUGACGCUCAUGCACGAAAGCGUGGGGAGCAAACAGGAUUAGAUACCCUGGUAGUCCACGCCCUAAACGAUGUCAACUAGUUGUUGGGGACUUCAUUUCCUUAGUAACGUAGCUAACGCGUGAAGUUGACCGCCUGGGGGAGUACGGUCGCAAGAUUAAAACUC
This 556-nucleotide ribosomal RNA is filed under the name uncultured bacterium. RNAcentral describes it as "partial 16S ribosomal RNA". It matches the Rfam family "Bacterial small subunit ribosomal RNA", at positions 355 to 902 of the family's 1533-position model. The record is from RNAcentral.